This is a long non-coding RNA of Hippopotamus amphibius kiboko, 605 nucleotides long. RefSeq lists it as uncharacterized. The transcript is spliced from 2 exons. The record is from RefSeq and is a predicted model, not a curated record. Lineage: Eukaryota; Metazoa; Chordata; Mammalia; Artiodactyla; Hippopotamidae.
GGAGCCCCUGCCGUCGAUCACGACCACAGCGUAGCCCAGAGACGCCAGAGUGUUGAGCCGCAAAUACUUGAUUCCUUUGAAGGAGUUAUUGACCAGCUGCACCUGUGGGGAAGGCGAGACAAGGCGAGUGUGAGACAUCCAGCCGUGUCGUGCAGCAUGCGGGAUCUUAGUUCCCUGACUGGGGAUCGAACCCGCGCCCCUGCGGUGGACAUGCGGAGUCCUGAGCACUGGACCGCCAGGGAAGUGCCAACUUAAGUGCAUUUUAAACAGAGAUCCGUCAGGGUCAUAGGUGGAAAAGCCGAAUCUCAACAUAAAGACAGAACUACUAAAACUAUGUCCAAGGAGCAUCUUGGGGAUGUGAGGUUCCAGCGAGAGCCCCGGGGUGGCUGAAGGCCCUGAGCCUCAGGGUGGACGGCCUGGUCUCUGCCCUCUCGGGACACCAGUGGGUGCUGAUGCUCACUUCUCAGGCCACAGUUCAUUUCGCAACUGCUCAACUGGGCCCAUGUGGGGUGAGUGGCCACAGACGAUCCCUAAACAAACUUGUGUGUGGCCGUGUGCCAAUAAAACUGUCUUUAUGGACACAGGAAUAUGGAUUUCCUAUCAUU